GUGUCAGCAGCCGCGGUAAUACGUAGGUGGCAAGCGUUGUCCGGAAUUAUUGGGCGUAAAGCGCGCGCAGGCGGUCCUUUAAGUCUGAUGUGAAAUCUCGCGGCUCAACCGCGAGCGGUCAUUGGAAACUGGGGGACUUGAGUGCAGAAGAGGAAAGUGGAAUUCCAUGUGUAGCGGUGAAAUGCGCAGAGAUAUGGAGGAACACCAGUAGCGAAGGCGACUUUCUGGUCUGUAACUGACGCUGAUGUGCGAAAGCGUGGGGAGCAAACAGGAUUAGAUACCCGAGUAGUCC
RNAcentral lists this ribosomal RNA (292 nucleotides) under uncultured Caryophanaceae bacterium. Its description in RNAcentral is "uncultured Planococcaceae bacterium partial 16S ribosomal RNA". It matches the Rfam family "Bacterial small subunit ribosomal RNA", at positions 505 to 796 of the family's 1533-position model. Lineage: Bacteria; Bacillati; Bacillota; Bacilli; Caryophanales; Caryophanaceae. The record is from RNAcentral.